This 621-nucleotide non-coding RNA is filed under the name Streptomyces sp. NRRL WC-3618. RNAcentral describes it as "Bacterial large subunit ribosomal RNA". It matches the Rfam family "Bacterial large subunit ribosomal RNA", at positions 590 to 1209 of the family's 2925-position model. Lineage: Bacteria; Bacillati; Actinomycetota; Actinomycetes; Kitasatosporales; Streptomycetaceae. The record is from Rfam by way of RNAcentral.
GUCGUGACUGCGUGCCUUUUGAAGAAUGAGCCUGCGAGUUUGCGGUGUGUUGCGAGGUUAACCCGUGUGGGGAAGCCGUAGCGAAAGCGAGUCCGAAUAGGGCGUUUUAGUAGCGCGCUCAAGACCCGAAGCGGAGUGAUCUAGCCAUGGGCAGGUUGAAGCGGAGGUAAGACUUCGUGGAGGACCGAACCCACCAGGGUUGAAAACCUGGGGGAUGACCUGUGGUUAGGGGUGAAAGGCCAAUCAAACUCCGUGAUAGCUGGUUCUCCCCGAAAUGCAUUUAGGUGCAGCGUCGUGUGUUUCUUGCCGGAGGUAGAGCACUGGAUAGGCGAUGGGCCCUACCGGGUUACUGACCUUAGCCAAACUCCGAAUGCCGGUAAGUGAGAGCGCGGCAGUGAGACUGUGGGGGAUAAGCUCCAUGGUCGAGAGGGAAACAGCCCAGAGCAUCGACUAAGGCCCCUAAGCGUACGCUAAGUGGGAAAGGAUGUGGAGUCGCACAGACAACCAGGAGGUUGGCUUAGAAGCAGCCACCCUUGAAAGAGUGCGUAAUAGCUCACUGGUCUAGUGAUUCCGCGCCGACAAUGUAGCGGGGCUCAAGCGUACCGCCGAAGUCGUGUCAUU